GUCGGGAAUAUUGGGCAAUGGGCGAAAGCCUGACCCAGCAACGCCGCGUGAAGGAUGAAGGCCCUCGGGUCGUAAACUUCUGUCGAGAGGGAAGAAUGCUUGCGGGUAAAUAAUCCGUAAGUUUGACGGUACCUCCAAAGGAAGCACCGGCUAACUCCGUGCCAGCAGCCGCGGUAAUACGGAGGGUGCAAGCGUUGUUCGGAUUUAUUGGGCGUAAAGCGAGUGUAGGCGGUUCGACAAGUCGGAUGUGAAAUCCCGAGGCCCAACCUCGGAACUGCAUCCGAUACUGUCAGGCUAGAGUCCCGGAGAGGGUGGCGGAAUUCCCGGUGUAGGGGUGAAAUCCGUAGAUAUCGGGAGGAACACCAGUGGCGAAGGCGGCCACCUGGACGGUGACUGACGC
RNAcentral lists this ribosomal RNA (400 nucleotides) under uncultured bacterium. RNAcentral's name for it is "bacterial SSU rRNA". It matches the Rfam family "Bacterial small subunit ribosomal RNA", at positions 354 to 746 of the family's 1533-position model. The record is from RNAcentral.